Molecule: transfer RNA, 81 nt
Filed under: Fusarium oxysporum f. sp. conglutinans race 2 54008
Lineage: Eukaryota; Fungi; Ascomycota; Sordariomycetes; Hypocreales; Nectriaceae
Description: tRNA-Ser (GCT) (tRNA-Ser-GCT-3-1)
Rfam family: tRNA
About the family: Transfer RNA (tRNA) molecules are approximately 80 nucleotides in length.
Source: RNAcentral
GACAACGUGGCCGAGUGGUUAAGGCGAUGCCCUGCUAAGGCAUUGUGUUCGCACGCGUAGGUUCGAAUCCUGCCGUUNNNN